UGAAAUGCAGCUGCUCUACCAAAACAU
RNAcentral lists this non-coding RNA (27 nucleotides) under Mus musculus (house mouse). Lineage: Eukaryota; Metazoa; Chordata; Mammalia; Rodentia; Muridae. The record is from RNAcentral.